GGGGCCAUGGCUCAGCUGGGAGAGCGCCUCCCUUGCACGGAGGAGGUCGUCGGUUCGAAUCCGACUGGCUCCACCA
Molecule: transfer RNA, 76 nt
Filed under: Bacillota bacterium
Lineage: Bacteria; Bacillati; Bacillota
Description: tRNA-Ala
Rfam family: tRNA
About the family: Transfer RNA (tRNA) molecules are approximately 80 nucleotides in length. Their secondary structure includes four short double-helical elements and three loops (D, anti-codon, and T loops).
Source: RNAcentral